AAUGGAAGUUAGGAAUCCUACGG
RNAcentral lists this non-coding RNA (23 nucleotides) under Cricetulus griseus (Chinese hamster). The record is from RNAcentral. Lineage: Eukaryota; Metazoa; Chordata; Mammalia; Rodentia; Cricetidae.